RNAcentral lists this ribosomal RNA (253 nucleotides) under uncultured bacterium. RNAcentral's name for it is "partial 16S ribosomal RNA". It matches the Rfam family "Bacterial small subunit ribosomal RNA", at positions 524 to 776 of the family's 1533-position model. The record is from RNAcentral.
UACAGAGAGUGCAAACGUUGUUCGGAAUCACUGGGCAUAAAGCGCGCGUAGGCGGCGCCACAAGUGCGGGGUGAAAUCCCACGGCUUACCCGUGGAACUGCCUGGUAUACUGUGGUGCUAGAGGAUGGUAGGGGAGAGCGGAACUCCAGGUGGAGCGGUGAAAUGCGUAGAGAUCUGGAGGAACACCGGUGGCGAAGGCGGCUCUCUGGUCCAUUACUGACGCUGAGGUGCGAAAGCUAGGGGAGCAAACGGG